GAUGAACGCUAGCGGGAGGCCUAACACAUGCAAGCCGAGCGGUAUGGCUUCUUCGGAACUGCGAGAGCGGCGUACGGGUGCGUAACACGUGUGCAACCUUCCUUUAUCUGUGGGAUAGCCUUUCGAAAGGAAGAUUAAUACUCCAUAAUAUAUUUAACGUCAUCGUUUAAUAUUAAAAGCUCCGGCGGAUAGUGAUGGGCCCGCGCAAGGUUAGCUAGUUGGUAAGGUAACAGCUCAGCAAGGCGGUGAUCUUUAGGUGGGCUGAGAGGGUGAUCCACCAGACCGGAACCGAGGCCCGGACCAGAAUCCGAGGGAGGGGAGCAGUAAGGAAUAUAAGGCAAUGAAUGCAGACCUGACACCGCCGCCCCGGGUGAAAGACGACUGCGCUAGGAGUUGUAAACUUCUGUUGUAUAGGGAUAGACCAACCAUCGUGAGGGUAGCUGAAGGUACUAUAAGAAAAAGCACCGGCUAACUCCGUG
Molecule: ribosomal RNA, 479 nt
Filed under: uncultured bacterium
Lineage: Bacteria
Description: partial 16S ribosomal RNA
Rfam family: Bacterial small subunit ribosomal RNA
Source: RNAcentral